UAGAUAGCGGCCCUCUCUUUGAAUUCUUUGGUCAUCAACCUCAAUAUUUGGGAUGUGAGAAAUGCAAGCCCAAUCCGCACCCUUUCUAUUUCCACAUCUUUCCUUCAAUUGGGGACAGUCAUUGAUAUUCAAUUCUCGUAACGAGGUGAGGGAACGCAUCUCUUGAGGCAGACACUUUAUUGCCGGACAAAUCUCAAUGGUUAGUCUUUGAAGACAAGUGAGAUUCCGCAGUCCAUCUGGAGGUAGAGAUUCGAGCUCUUUAAUGUCCCUAAUCCGAAGGAUCUUCAAUUUAGAGAGAGGAGGAACGAUUGAGGAAGAAGAAGAGAUUGAUGGUGUGAAUAUUUGGUGCACAAGUUGUGGGCUUGCGUACCGCAAAGAUAGUGAAUGAUCGAGAGAUGGAAACUGAGGGAUGGAGGUCAAAUUAGGGCAGUCCUCACAAACGAAAUAUGAAAGACAAGGAAAUUGGAGUAGCUCAAGAGCUGUCGAAUCAUCCUCCUUCUUCUUCUGCCAUCCUUUAAGCUUAGGACAACGAUAUAGCUCGAGAGUCUUUAGGGAUGGAAAGAAUGAUGUUGGUUGUUCCUCAAUCUCCAUGUAUUCUAAAUCAUCUACUCCCCAAAUCUCUAGAUAUUGAAGAGAAGGGAUUUGAUCCAUUGGUGGGAGAUGCUGAUAUCUCUUGCAAUUCCAUAUACAGAGAUAGACAAGAUUCGUGAGGGAAGAGAACCAACUUGGGAACCUCCUGCCUCCAUAGUUAAGCACGCGUAACUCUUUAAGAUUGGGAUGUGGUUGGAGAUUUUGGAAUGCCAUUUCAUCUCUAUCAACAUUUGAAUCUUCCCAACUCUCCUCCCAACUUAAUUUCAAUGAUUGAAUGAGUGGCUUCUCUUUCAAAUUAACAUUUACAAUCUCAUUAUCCACACAUCCCAGAUUUCUAAUUGCAAGACGUCCCCUCAAAUUGCUAAGCUUAUUCAAUUCAUUUAUUUUUCCAACAUCCUUUGAGGAAAUAUGCCCUUUUGCCACUACGAACAGUGACAACGUCUGAAGUGAAGUCAACUGCCCAAGCCCACGUGGCAUAUGAGUCAAAGAGUAACAACCUUCACAAUAUAAAUGCCUAAGAUUCACAAGCUUUUUAAUAUCUUUAGGCAAUUCUUUGAGCUGGACACAAUAAGAGACAUCGAAUACUUGUAAAUUCAGCAAAUCCGUAAUAGAAUGUGAAAGUGCUUUAAGUCCCUUGUUAUCGGAAACAUCAAGAUAUCUUAUAUAUUUUAGCAUUUUUAUAGAAUUAUCCACCGUUUUAUAUGAAUGCAUUGUAAAUACACGUAAAAAUUUUAAAUUUUUAUAAAUAAAUAACUGAUCGUAAUCAUAUUUCUCAAGAAAAAGAAGCGAUCGUAGUCUUUUUGUGUUAUUAAGAAUUUCUUUUGAUGCAACAUCCAAAUUCAAUGCUAAAUGAUGGAUUUUAUCAUCAAUAUUUGAUGCAUCAGAAUUUACUAGCUGAAUUCUCUUCCCACCCACUGUGGUUGCGAGAUCGUGCAUUAAAUCAUGCAUUUUACAGCUUUCUACAUUUCCACAUCUAUCUCUUUUCACCUCUUGAAAAAAUGACCUCCACCACAGUUUCAUAAAAUAUUCAAGCCCAAUAUCUUCAAGACAAUCACUCCAACUUGGUGACUCAAUAAACCCUUGUGCAAUCCAAAGAUGGAUUAAUCUUUUCACAUCAAUCACAUAAUCUUUUGGAUAUAUUGCGCAAUAUGCAAAACAAUGCUUCAAAUGUGAUGGGAGAUGAUCAUAACUUAGCUUCAGUGUUGGCAUAAUAUCAUUACCAUCUUGACUUAUUCUUGAGAGUUCUUUUGUUAAAAAGGGCAGCCACUCAGUUUCUGGAUUUUUCGCAUACAAGAGACUUGCGAUAGUUUUUAUUGCAAGAGGAACUCCAUGACAUUUCUUCAAAAUCUCCUUUCCCAUCUCUCUUACAUUUGCAUGUUUUGGCUCCUGCCCCUCAAGUGCUACAUGCAAAAACAAAGACCAAGACUCAUCCGGAGACAACCCUUCCAAAACAUGUGGUGCUAUUGUGCCAGAUAUAUCUGCCACCAUUUUAGAGCGAGUGGUUAUUAAUAUCUUACUUCCACUAGAGCCACCCACUAAUAAUCUCUUUAAAUUCUGCCAUUUUUCUCUAUUCUCAUUCCACACAUCAUCUAGAACAAGCAGAUAUUUCUUCCCACUAAAAAUUUUUUCCAGUCUAGACUUCAAUGCUUCUAACCCAAGAUCUUCCGAUCUAUUCCCUGUUGCAGACUCUAGAAUCUUUCCAACAGUCAUUUUCACAUCAAAAGGUUCUGAAACACACACCCAUAUUCUUGGCUCAAAUGAAUUCUUAAUCAAUUCAUCAUUCAAUAUGAUUUGAGCAAGAGUGGUCUUCCCUAAUCCUCCAAUUCCAACAAUUGAGAGGACUGAAACACACUCUUCACCAUUGGAAGACAAUACAAGUUGUGUAAUUGCCUUUUUGUCACCCUCUCUCCCAAUAACCACUUCAGGUAAAGAGGACGUAGUUUGAUCCCUCCAUACAAUACUCUCCUGAUCAGUACGAACCUCUAAAUUAAAUUUUCUGUCAGCUUCAAUAUCAGCUAGCCUCUCCCUAAUCGCCUUAACUUUAUGACCCAUUUUAAAACCAUAAACAAGUUUAUUUGAAGACGAAAAGAAGAGACUUACCUCCUUUGUCAUUCUAUUUCCAGUCAUCACUCGGCGCCUUAGGGCUUCUGUGGCGAAGUCAUCUACCAAGUCAUCAGCAUCAUAAACCACUUCUUCUAGCCUCUCAAGCCAGCCUUUCACUUGACGGUUAAGUUUCUGCUGCUCCUCAGCAUCCAGAAGAACGUUGCGAAUACUAGAAACUGUGGCCUCAAGUUUCUUAAGCUCACCUUUGACGCCCCACCACAAUCCGAUCUCAUGAAGGGCUCGAGAACCCAGCUUGGUAAUGAUAUCUAUGACAACGUUAGAGAGAACUCCGUCGGCCAUUUUGGGUGUUUUGGUUUGAUUGUAAAAGGAUGAAAUGUUGCUGUGAAGAAGAAGAUGGUGACAACAAAUGACUAAUUUAAAGAAAAAAAAAAGUGAAGGAAAAAGCAUUCUUCUAAAUAAUUAUCUUCAGUCGGUCAGCUUUGGUGGGCGGUGGUUUGCUUUAAUUUAAAAAGUAAAAUAUAUUAAUAAAUUUAUAUAUAGAAUGAAAGUAAGUUAUGUUUUUUUUAAAAUAAUUUUAUUUUUUUAUUUAAAAAAUAUUUUUUAUUAAAUAAAUUUUGAGUGAUUCAAAUCGUUAAAAAAUAUAAAAUAUAUUUUUAAUGUUAAUGAAUUUUGGUUAUUGAAAUGAAAGUAUUUUUAUAUAUUUGUAUGAUGAUAUAAAAUUAUAUCAGGUGUAACAUGUAUAAUAGAUUUAUUAUGAGUUUUAAAGAUUUUAAAUGGAUCUGAAUUUCAAUACUGUAGCGAUUUGAUUUUUGAAUCGUUAUAGAAAUAACCGGUUGAUUUUAUGAAUUCUAGUACUGUAGCGAUUCGAUUUUUAAAUCGUCAUAGGAACAAUAAUCAUUAUAGGAACAAUAGGUUGAUUUUAUUUUUUGGGUAACAGAAUCUCAAGAGUAUCCUAUUGCAUAUUAUAGAUCCAUCGAUGUUAGAGAUGUUGUGUAUGCACACAUUCAAGAUUUGGAGAUUCCUUCUCUUCUGAGGUUCUAAAGAUUGUGUCAGCAACAUUAUCCUACAUUGCACCUUUCAAAAAAGUAUGAUUUUUUUUAUAUUUUUGCAUGCUCAUUUUGAACCAGCUAUAUAAAUGCUAAGAUCUAUAAUUAUUCGGAUAAUUGAGAAAUAGUUGUUUUGAAUGAUUAAUUUGAUCAUGGAAUAUAAUCUGAGUUGCAGAUGUGGCUCUAGAUUGAAUUACUUAACAAAGUAUGAGGUAUCAAAGGAAAAAGCGAAAACUUUGGGCAUUGACUUCAUUCCUUUGGAGGUUAGUUUGAAGGACACUAUUGAAAGCUUGAAGCAGAAGGGCUUCCUCAGCAUUUGAUUUUGGCUGUUGGAUAAAAAGCAAUGCAAAUAUUACAUUGGCCUUAGCUUCCUAUUGGUGCAAGAUCUUAUUGCCCUUCAAGAUUGUCUUUAUUUGAAAAAAGUGGACCAAUACAAUUUAUAAAAUAUAUAACAAUUUGUAUAUAACUGUGUAUAAACAUAUUACAUGUGUCACUUGUUUUAGUGAUAGAUGAAGUUCGUUUCAGGUCUGAUUUAUGAGGAAAUUACUUUUUUUUUUUUUUUUAUCUGAUUUCAGGUCACAUUCCAAAGAAUAAGACACAAGAAAAAGAAAAUGUAUAAUCCACCAAUUCUGAUUUAGUUCGGUCUUUUCAAAGUAUAUUCAGAUUUCAUAGCCAAUUCAUUUAAUGCCGUAUCUGAUUUCUGGUUCUUGUGAUAUGCUCUUACAAAAUUCAUCUAAAAUUCAGUGCUCUUACACAUUCUGGAAACACAAUUUAUACAAAAACUGAUUUCUCAGGAAAAAAAAGGAAAAUAAUGUUAUUUGCAUUGAAUGAACAAAUGAUUAGCAUAGUAGCAAAACUACUUAAAAUAAGAGAAAUUAGAAACCAAAAAGCAGCACAGCAUGAGUCUGGGCAUUGCAUGUUGGAUGAUCGAAACAGAGGUCUUGAGUGCGAAUCUAGAUCCUGAAAUACGCAGGCCUGCAAAAAGUCAUUCGAAGAAGUGUGCAAAACUCCCAUCAUUCAGCUUUCUUUCUGCUUCCCGCUCAGCAGGAUUACUAUGUACUGAGACAGAUAGGAAACUUAUCCCGGUGAGUUUUUAUUCCGGGAUGUCAAGGGCACAAUGCGCAGCUUAGUGAAUCUCCAUCAUCUUUGCCACAGGUGUAAGUUAUGAAGAUAGUUGCUAGAUGGAGGAUUUUCACACUAGUGAUUAAGCAUCUGUUUCAAGCCAGAAUCAUCAUUAAAUCACAGAUUUGCUUUACAAGCAAUAACUAGAGGGAUUUCAUAUUACAAGUAGAGUCUUUAUAACCUACUGAAUCGCUUAUUUGCGAAGACAGAAGAAAAGGAGAGCUCACGUUUUGUUUUUACUGCACAAAUACUGCAUAUGGAAUCUGAGUGAGAAGUUACUCCCUAAAAAUUUCAAAAGUGUUUUUGAGAGGUACCUUUGCGCGAAUCUUCUGGCAACAGACCCAAAGAAGUCAUCCAAUAAGUAGAAAUUCUUCUAUGGAAGGCCACACACAUUAAUAGCAGUUCUUUCAAGGCGAAUUAUGCCAAGCCAAUCAAGGAAUUGCUGCCAUGGCAUGUAGUUGUGGUUUCUUAAUGUGUUCGAGUAACUUCUGCACAAGGAAUCAAAUUAAUCUUUAAAUCCGUGAAAUUAAAAGGGAUGCAGAAUUACAAAACUAAUAAUAAGAACAAUAAUAAUAAGAUGGAUAGAAGCAUGACCUGCCAAUGCAUGAUUUCGGCAAGCCUUUGCUUUGGUUCACCACUUCCCAAUGUAGUAAGAAUUUCAACAGCAUCCCAGAAUUUCAAUAGCAUCCCAAUGAUAACUCAUACUUGAUGAGCCUUGAUGGAGAAAUGAAAGUCCAGUUAAAAUUAUUCAAAAUGCAUAUCCACUCGCCAAGAACAUAUGCACCCAGAAAUCUCCUUAAAUAAAUAAGGUUUUAACAAGGUGAAUGCUUUGCUUUUUCUUUUUUUGGGAAGAACUUCAAAGUAAACAAAGGUAAGACUGUUGGGUUUUGAUGUUUACCUUGUGUGGGAGAAAUAUGAUGUUUACCCAGAAAUCACAUUUUUGUUUUCAGAAUAAAUGGUUUUUUCCACCUCUGCAUUUGACAUUGAAAAAACUUGAAUAAAUACCAAAUAAUUAAGAAAUGCUGCUGAUUUAAUUUACAAAGGAAUGGUGCAUGUGAAGAGAAAUUGACAUAUGACAAUCACAUUCAGCACAAUCAAUUCUCAUCCUAAUUUAGAAGACUAAUCAAACUAACUGCAGCAAUAACAUCUUUUCCACGAAGUCUACUAACUUCUGCACAUAGAGUCAAAAUUAAUCCGUUAUAUCCAUGAAAAGAAUGAAGGCAGAAUUACAUUAAAAAAUGAAUAAAAAUGAUGGUUAAAAGAAUGACCUGCCAAUGCAUUUAAAAUCUCUUUGAAUUUGUUUCCCACAUCCCAAUUUAUUAGAAUUUCAGGUGAGUAAAAAAAGAAAAAAAUGAUUCCUCUAGCUUGAUGAGCCUGUAUAUGUGGGAAAAAAGUGUUAAAAUAUUAUCAUAAAGCAAACAAAUUCUCAAUUACACAAAAAAUAAAAGAAAGAAAAGGUACGCUGUAUAUUGAUCUUGAUUGUAAAGAAAUAAUGACAAAAGGAUACUUACAACUCAAAGGUAAUACACUGCUCAUUUUGGAAGAAACACAUCCAACACUUCAAAACUUAUCCUUCAUUGAUCUGUGUAAAUAGAAUCAUAGAGUGAAGAUUUUCUCAUGUAAGUUUAGUUUGCAAAUUGGAGAGAAAAAGGACCAACUUACCGAAGCUUCAUCAUCCAGUAGAUAGCGGCCCUCUCUUUGAAUUCUUUGGUUAUCAACUUCAAUAUUUGGGAUGUGAGAAAUGAAAGCCCAAUCCGCACCCUUUCUAUUUCCACAUCUUUCCUUCAAUUGGGGACAGUCAUCGAUAUCCAAUUCUCGUAACGAGGUGAGGGAACGCAUCUCUUGAGGCAGACACUUUAUUGCCGGACAAAUCUCAAUGGUUAGUCUUUGAAGACAAGUGAGAUUCCGCAGUCCAUCUGGAGGUAGAGAUUCGAGCUCUUUAAUGUCCCUAAUCCAAAGGUUCUUCAAUUUAGAGAGAGGAGGAAUGAUUGAGGAAGAAGAAGAGAUUGAUGGUGUGAAUAUUUGGUGCACAAGUUGUGGGCUUGCGUGCAGCAAAUGUAGUGAAUCAUCGAGAGAUGGAAACUGAGGGAUGGACUUCAAAUUAGGGCAGUCCUCACAAACGAAAUAUGAAAGACAAGGAAAUUGGAGUAGCUCAAGAGCUGUCGAAUCAUCCUCCUUCUUCUUCUGCCAUCCUUUAAGCUUAGGACAACCAUAUAGCACGAGAGUCUUUAGGGAUGGAAAGAAUGAUGUUGGUUGUCCCUCAAUCUCCAUGUAUUCUAAAUCAUCUACUCCCCAAAUCUCUAGAUAUUGAAGAGAAGGGAUUUGAUCCAUUGGUGGGAGAUGCUGAUAUCUCUUGCAAUUCCAUAUACAGAGAUAGACAAGAUUCGUGAGGGAAGAGAACCAACUUGGGAACCUCCUGCCUCCAUAGCCAAACACAAGUAACUCUUUAAGAUUGGGAUGUGGUUGGAGAUUUUGGAAUGCCAUUUCAUCUCUAUCAACAUUUGAAUCUUCCCAACUCUCCUCCCAACGUAGUUUCAAUGAUUGAAGGAGUGGCUUCUCUUUCAAAUUAACAUUUACAAUCUCAUCAUCCACACAUCCCAGAUUUCUAAUUUCAAGACGUCCCCUCAAAUUGUUAAGCUUAUUCAAUUCAUUUAUUUUUCCAACAUCCUUUGAGGAAAUAUGCCCUUUUCCCACUACGAACAGUGACAACGUCUGAAGUGAAGUCAACUGCCCAAGCCCACGUGGCAUAUGAGUCAAAGAGUUACAACCUUCACAAUAUAAAUGCCUAAGAUUCACAAGCUUUUUAAUAUCUUUAGGCAAUUCUUUGAGCUCGUCACAAUAAGAGACAUCUAAUACUUGUAAAUUCAGCAAAUCCGUAAUAGAAUUUGAAAGUGCUUUAAGUUUCUCGUUAUCGGAAACGUCAAGAUAUCUUAGAUAUUUUAGCAUUUUUAUAGAAUUAUCCAUUAUUCUAUAUGAAUGCAUAGUAAAUACACGCAAAAAUUUUAAAUUUUUAUAAAUAAAUAGCUGAUCGACAUUAUGUUCCUCAGACAAAAGAAUCGAUCGUACUCUUUUUGCAUUGUUAAGAAUUUCUUGUGGUGCAACAACUAAAUUCAAUGCUACAUGAUGGGUUUUCUCAUCAAUAUUUGGUGCAUCAGAAUUUACUAGCUGAAUCCUCUUUCCACCCACUGUGGUUGCGAGAUCGUGCAUUAAAUCAUGCAUUUUACAGCUUUCUACAUUUCCACAUCUAUCUCUUUCCACCUCUUGAAAAAAUGACCUCCACCACAGUUUCAUAAAAUAUUCAAGCCCAAUAUCUUCAAGACAAUCACUCGUACUUGGUGAUUCAAUAAACCCUUGUGCAAUCCAAAGAUGGAUUAAUGUUUUCACAUCAAUCACAUAAUCUUUUGGAUAUAUUGCGCAAUAUGCAAAACAAUGCUUCAAAUGUGAUGGGAGAUGAUCAUAACUUAGCUUCAGUGUUGGCAUAAUAUCAUUACCAUCUUGACUUAUUCUUGAGAGUUCUUUUGUUAAAAAGGGCAACCACUCAGUUUCUGGAUUUUUCGCAUACAAGAGACUUGCUAUAGUUUUUAUUGCAAGUGGAACUCCAUGACAUUUCUUCAAAAUCUCCUUUCCCAUCUCUCUUACAUUUGCAUGUUUUGGCUCCUGCCCCUUAAGUGCUACAUGCAAAAACAAAGACCAAGACUCAUCCAGAGACAACCCUUCCAAAACAUGUGGUGCUGUUGUGCCAGAUAUAUCUGCCACCUUUUUAGAGCGAGUGGUUAUUAAUAUCUUACUUCCACUAGAGCCACCCACUAAUAAUCUCUUUAAAUUCUGCCAUUUUUCUCUAUUCUCAUUCCACACAUCAUCUAGAACAAGCAGAUAUUUCUUCCCACUAAUAAUUUUUUCCAGUCUAGACUUCAAUGCUUCUAACCCAAGAUCUUCCGAUUUAUUCCCUGUUGCAGACUCUAGAAUCUUUCCAACAGUCAUUUUCACAUCAAAAGGUUCUGAAACACACACCCAUAUUCUUGGCUCAAAUGAAUUCUUAAUCAUUUCAUCAUUCAAUAUGAUUUGAGCAAGAGUGGUCUUCCCUAAUCCUCCAAUUCCAACAAUUGAGAGGACUGAAACACACUCUUCACCAUUGGAAGACAAUACAAGUUGUGUAAUUGCCUUUUUGUCACCCUCUCUCCCAAUAACCACUUCAGGUAAAGAGGACGUAGUUUGAUCCCUCCAUACAAUACUCUCCUGAUCAGUACGAACCUCUAAAUUAAAUUUUCUGUCAGCUUCAAUAUCAGCUAGCCUCUCCCUAAUCGCCUUAACUUUAUGACCCAUUUUAAAACCAUAAACAAGUUUAUUUGAAGACGAAAAGAAGAGACUUACCUCCUUUGUCAUUCUAUUUCCAGUCAUCACUCGGCGCCUUAGGGCUUCUGUGGCGAAGUCAUCUACCAAAUCAUCAGCAUCAUAAACCACUUCUUCUAGCCUCUCAAGCCAGCAUUUCACUUGACGGUUAAGUUUCUGCUGCUCCUCAGCAUCCAGAAGAACGUUGCGAAUACUAGAAACUGUGGCCUCAAGUUUCUUAAGCUCACCUUUGACGCCCCACCACAAUCCGAUCUCAUGAAGGGCUCGAGAACCCAGCUUGGUAAUGAUAUCUCCGACAACGUUAGAGAGAACUCCGUCGGNNNNNNNNNNNNNNNNNNNNNNNNNNNNNNNNNNNNNNNNNNNNNNNNNUUUAAAUAAAAAAAAAAAAAAAGAAGUGGAGGAAAAAGCGGUCCGUUAACUUUGGACGGCGCUGGUUUGCUUUAAUUUAAAAAGUAAAAUAUAUUAAUAAAUUUAUAUAUAGAAUGAAAGUUAGUUAUUUUUUAUAAAAUAAUUUUAUUUUUUAUUAAAUAAAUUUUAUGAGUGAUUUAAAUCGUUAAAAAAUAUAAAAUAUAUUUUUGAUGUUACUAAAAUUUUGUUAUUGAAAUGAAAGUAUUUUUAUAUAUUUUGUGAUGAUGUAUAAAGUUACAUUAGGUAUAAUAUGAUGUAUAGUAAAUUUAUUAUGAGUUUUAAUGACUUUAAAUCGAUUUAAAUUUUAAUAUUGAUAGCGGUUCAAUUUCUGAAUUAUUAUCGAAAUGUAUAGCAGGAGCUCAAGAGUAUCCUGUUGCAUAUUAUAGAUCCAUCGAUAUAAAAAAUAUGGCAUAUGCACACAUUCAGGAUUUAGAGAUUCCUUCAGCUAGUGGCAGAUAUUGUUUAAUUAAAAGAGAUGUCCACUUCUCUGAGGUUUUGAAGAUUGUGUCAGCAACAUUAUCCUACAUUGCACCUUCCAAAAAACUAUGGUUUUUUUUAUAUUUUUGCAUGCUCAUGUUGGACCAGCUAUAUGAAUGGCUAAGAUAUAUAAUUAUUUGGAUAACUGAGAAAUAGUUAUUUUGAAUGAUUAAUUUGAUCAUGGAAUAUAAUCUGAGUUGCAGAUGUGGCUCUGAAUUGAAUUACUUAACAAAGUAUGAGGUAUCAAAGAAAAAAGCGAAAACUUUGGAUAUUGAUUUCAUUCCUUUGGAGGUUAGUUGAAGGACACUAUUGAAAGCUUGAAGGAGAAGAGCCUCCUCAGCAUUUGAUUUUGGCUGUCGGAUAAAAAGCAAUGCAAAUAUUACAUUGGCCUUUCAGGUUCAUUGGCUUUAGCUUUCUAUUGGUGUAAGGUAUUAUUGCCCUUCAGAAUUGUCUUUAUUUAAAAAAAGUGAACCCAUACAAUUUGUAAAAUAUAUUAAAAUUUGUAUACAGCUGUAUAUAAACAUAUUACAUGUGUCGCUUGUUUCUGGUAGAUAAAGUUCAUUUCAGGUCUGAUUUCUGAGGAAGUUGCUCUUUUUUUUUAUCUGAUUUCAAGUCUCAUUCCAAAGAAGAAGACACAAGAAAAAGAAAAUGUGUAAUCCACCAAUUCAGAUUUAGUUCAGUCUUUUCAAAGUAUAUUCAGAUUUCAUAGCCAAUUCAUUUAAUGCUGUAUCUGAUUUCUGGUUCUUGUGAUACGCUCUUACAAAAUUCAUUUAAAAUUCAGUACUCUUACACAUUUUGGAAACACAAUUUAUACAAAAACUGAUUUCUCAGGAAAAAAAAGGAAAAUAAUGUUAUUUGCAUUGAAUGAACAAAUGAUUAGCAUAGUAGCAAAACUACUUAAAAUAAGAGAAAUUAGAAACCAAAAAGCAGCACAGCAUGAGUCUGGGCAUUGCAUGUUGGAUGAUCGAAACAGAGGUCUUGAGUGCGAAUCUAGAUCCUGAAAUACGCAGGCCUGCAAAAAGUCAUUCGAAGAAGUGUGCAAAACUCCCAUCAUUCAGCUUUCUUUCUGCUUCCCGCUCAGCAGGAUUACUAUGUACUGAGACAGAUAGGAAACUUAUCCCGGUGAGUUUUUAUUCCGGGAUGUCAAGGGCACAAUGCGCAGCUUAGUGAAUCUCCAUCAUCUUUGCCACAGGUGUAAGUUAUGAAGAUAGUUGCUAGAUGGAGGAUUUUCACACUAGUGAUUAAGCAUCUGUUUCAAGCCAGAAUCAUCAUUAAAUCACAGAUUUGCUUUACAAGCAAUAACUAGAGGGAUUUCAUAUUACAAGUAGAGUCUUUAUAACCUACUGAAUCGCUUAUUUACGAAGACAGAAGAAUAGGAGAGCUCACGUUUUGUUUUUACUGCACAAAUACUGCAUAUGGAAUCUGAGUGAGAAGUUACUCCCUAAAAAUUUCAAAAGUGUUUUUGAGAGGUACCUUUGAGCGAAUCUUCUGGCAACAGACUCAAAGAAGUCAUCCAAUAAGUAGAAAUUCUUCUAUGGAAGGCCACACACAUUAAUAGCAGUUCUUUCAAGGCGAAUUAUGCCAAGCCAAUCAAGGAAUUGCUGCCAUGGCAUGUAGUUGUGGUUUCUUAAUGUGUUCGAGUAACUUCUGCACAAGGAAUCAAAUUAAUCUUUAAAUCCGUGAAAUUAAAAGGGAUGCAGAAUUACAAAACUAAUAAUAAGAACAAUAAUAAUAAGAUGGAUAGAAGCAUGACCUGCCAAUGCAUGAUUUCGGCAAGCCUUUGCUUUGGUUCACCACUUCCCAAUGUAGUAAGAAUUUCAACAGCAUCCCAGAAUUUCAAUAGCAUCCCAAUGAUAACUCAUACUUGAUGAGCCUUGAUGGAGAAAUGAAAGUCCAGUUAAAAUUAUUCAAAAUGCAUAUCCACUCGCCAAGAACAUAUGCACCCAGAAAUCUCCUUAAAUAAAUAAGGUUUUAACAAGGUGAAUGCUUUGCUUUUUCUUUUUUUGGGAAGAACUUCAAAGUAAACAAAGGUAAGACUAUUGGGUUUUGAUGUUUACCUUGUGUGGGAGAAAUGUGAUGUUUACCCAGAAAUCACAUUUUGUUUUCAGAAUAAAUGGUUUUUUCCACCUCUGCAUUUGACAUUGAAAAAACUUGAAUAAAUACCAAAUAAUUAAGAUAUGCUGCUGAUUUAAUUUACAAAGGAAUGGCGCAUGUGAAGAGAAAUUGACAUAUGACAAUCACCUUCAGCACAAUCAAUUCUCAUCCUAAUUUAGAAGACUAAUCAAACUAAUUGCAGCAAUAACAUCUUUUCCACGAAGUCUACUAACUUCUGCACAUAGAGUCAAAAUUAAUCCGUUAUAUCCAUGAAAAGAAUGAAGGCAGAAUUACAUUAAAAAAUGAAUAAAAAUGACGGUUAAAAGAAAGACCUGCCAAUGCAUUUAAAAUCUCUUUGAAUUUGUUUCCCACAUCCCAAUUUAUUAGAAUUUCAGGUGAGUAAAAAACAAAUAAAUGAUUCCUCUAGCUUGAUGAGCCUGUACAUGUGGGAAAAAAGUGUUAAAAUAUUAUCAUAAAGCAAAUAAAUUCUCAAUUAUACAAAAAAUAAAAGAAAGAAAAGGUACUCUGUAUAUUGAUCUUGAUUGUAAAGAAAUAAUGACAAAAGGUACUCUGUAUAUUGAUCUUGAUUGUAAAGAAAUAAUGACAAAAGGAUACUUACGAACUCAAAGGUAAUACACUGCUCAUUUUGGAAGAAACACAUCCAACACUUCAAAACUUAUCCUUCAUUGAUCUGUGUAAAUAGAAUCAUAGAGUGAAGAUUUUCUCAUGUAAGUUUAAUUUGCAAAUUGGAGAGAAAAAGGACCAACUUACCGAAGCUUCAUCAUCCAGUAGAUAGCGGCCCUCUCUUUGAAUUCUUUGGUCAUCAACUUCAAUAUUUGGGAUGUGAGAAAUGAAAGCCCAAUCCGCACCCUUUCUAUUUCCACAUCUUUCCUUCAAUUGGGGACGGUCAUUGAUAUUCAAUUCUCGUAACGAGGUGAGGGAACGCAUCUCUUGAGGCAGACACUUUAUUGCCGGACAAAUCUGAAUGGUUAGUCUUUGAAGACAAGUGAGAUUCCACAGUCCAUCUGGAGGUAGAGAUUCCAGCUCUUCAAUGUCCGUAAUCUGAAGGAUCUUCAAUUUAGAGAGAGGAGGAAUGAUUGAGGAAGAAGAAGAGAUUGAUGGUGUGAAUAUUUGGUGCACAAGUUGUGGGCUUGCGCAGUGCAAAUAUAGUGAAUGAUCGAGAGAUGGAAACUGAGGGAUGGAGUUCAAAUUAGGGCAGUCCCUACAAACGAAAUACGAAAGACAAGGAAAUUGGAGUAGCUCAAGAGCUGUCGAAUCAUCCUUCUUCUUCUGCAAUCCUUUAAGCUUAGGACAACCAUAUAGCACGAGAACCCUUAGGGAUGGAAAGAAUGAUGUUGCUUGUCCCUCAAUCUCAAUGUACUCUAAAUCAUCUACUUCACGAAUAUGUAGAUAUUGAAGAGAAGGGAUUUGAUCCAUUGGUGGGAGAUGCUGAUAUCUAUUGCAAUUCCGUAUACAGAGAUAGACAAGAUUCGUGAGGGAAGAGAACCAACUUGGGAACCUCCUGCCUCCAUUGCCAAGCACACGUAACUCUUUAAGAUUGGGAUGCGGUUGGAGAUUUUGGAAUGCCAUUUCAUCUCUAUCAACAUUUGAAUCUUCCCAACUCUCCUCGCAACGUAAUUCCAAUGAUUGAAGGACUGGUUUCUCUUUCAUAUUAACAUUUACAAUCUCAUUAUCCACACAACCCAGAUUUAUAAUUUCAAGACGUCCCCUCAAAUUCUUAAGCUUAUUCAGUUCAUUUAUUUUUUCAACAUCCUUUGAGGAAAUAUGCCCUUUUGCCACUACGAACAGCGACAACGUCUGAAGUGAAGUCAACUGCCCAAGCCCACGUGGCAUAUGAGUCAAAGAGUAACAACCUUCACAAUAUAAAUGCCUAAGAUUUACAAGCUUUUUAAUAUCUUUAGGCAAUUCUUUGAGCUGGACACAGUAAGAGACAUCUAAUACUUGUAAAUUCAGCAAAUCGGUAAUAGAAUGUGAAAGUGCUUUAAGUCCCUUGUUAUCGGAACGUCAAGAUAUCUUAUAUAUUUUAGCAUUUUUAAAGAAUUAUCCAUCGUUGUAUAUGAAUGCAUCAUAAAUACACGUAAAAAUUUUAAAUUUUUAUAAAUAAAUAGUUGAUCGCAAUCAUAUUUCUCAAGCAAAAGAAG
RNAcentral lists this long non-coding RNA (14314 nucleotides) under Manihot esculenta (cassava). RNAcentral's name for it is "long non-coding RNA (MESC_LNC003831)". Lineage: Eukaryota; Viridiplantae; Streptophyta; Magnoliopsida; Malpighiales; Euphorbiaceae. The record is from RNAcentral.